Molecule: ribosomal RNA, 338 nt
Filed under: uncultured bacterium
Lineage: Bacteria
Description: bacterial SSU rRNA
Rfam family: Bacterial small subunit ribosomal RNA
Source: RNAcentral
GAUGAACGCUAGCGGCAGGCCUAAUACAUGCAAGUCGAGGGGCAGCGCGGUAGCAAUACUGGCGGCGACCGGCGCACGGGUGCGUAACACGUAUGCAACCUACCUUCAACUGGAGGAUAGCCCGGGGAAACUCGGAUUAAUACUCCAUAACACAGGGAUCCCGCAUGGGAAUAUUGUUAAAGCUACGGCGGUUGAAGAUGGGCAUGCGUUCGAUUAGCUAGUUGGUGUAGGUAACGGCUCACCAAGGCUACGAUCGAUAGGGGGUCUGAGAGGAUGAUCCCCCACACUGGUACUGAGAUACGGACCAGACUCCGUACGGGAGGCAGCAGUAGGGAAUA